RNAcentral lists this long non-coding RNA (2124 nucleotides) under Olea europaea subsp. europaea. The record is from RNAcentral. Lineage: Eukaryota; Viridiplantae; Streptophyta; Magnoliopsida; Lamiales; Oleaceae.
CUUCUUCUUACGCUUUUUUCUGUAUACUCCUUUGCCUCACUUUGAUGAAUCAUCUGGACUGUCUUCCCCAACGGCCACCUGCCUAACGAUACUAUUUAGCCCCAUUGAUUCUAGAAAGAUCCGUACAUGGUUUAUAUAUAGAAAUGAAAAUGUAUGAAGAAUUGACUAAAACAUAAAGUUUUAUUCAAAGAAAAAGGUCUAAGAGUAUAAAGAACUCUUAAACUUAUUUAAUUACAUGAAAUAUCCAAAAUGGAUCUACUGUCUUUCAGGAAUUAGCCUCGCAGUCUAGACAAAGAAAAUUUUUCUUUAAAAUUUUUUUCCUCUACUCCUUGUUUGAAGUUCUUUCUUUUAUAGUCGAUUGAAAAUAUUCCUCCUUUUCCUCAUUGGUUCUUUUCUCAUUAUCAACAGUUUUUCUUUUGCCGAAAGCAAAAGUAGUGAUAAAAUGAUAUAACAAAAUUUGUCUUCUUUCCCUGAUUUUCAAAAAUGCUCCCUCUUUUUAAUAAGUAGGUAUAGUCUUUGUCAAAAGUUGGCAUCUUUUUUCCAAAAACCAGUUGACAUGCUCUUUUGAAAACAAGAUUUUUAAUCUGGUUGGUCCUCCUGGAUUUUGCUUUUGGUGGAUGCUCCACUUGGCUCACCAUCAUCUUGUAUUGUAUUUUUCCCUUUGUCAUUUUCUUCAAUUGUAUUACACCAUUGGCAUUCGUGAUGUUUUCCAAAACUUUGUCUUAAUGCUUUGCAUAAUUGGCCUUGGAAAUUUGAUGGGGUUAUUGGACAAAUUAUAAAAAUUCUUUUCAAAAUAGCAAAGAAUUUUUAUUCCUUUCAAUUGGAUUGUUGAUCCAGUCUUACUUGUAACCAAGAUAAAAUCUGAAAAAUAAUUCACCUUGAUUUUUGAUUCAUUGUUGAAGGUCUUCAAUCCUAUUAAAAUUAUCUGGAAAGAGAGAUUUCUCCAUUCAUGAAGUAUUUGCUCAUUAAAACAUUCAAUCUGUCAUUGGAUUGGUUUAUUCAGAAUCACUUCUGGAAUUGUCUUGAUCUGAAUAUGGUGGUAUCCUUUAAUUAGGAAACCUUCUUCAUUCCAAAACGGAAUAGUACUGUUAAUUUUCAGCAUCAUCUGCAGUUUCUGGUCUUUAAUAACAAAUUUCUUAAAAUCUUUUAAAACUUUAAUCAAAUUGUUAUCAAUCUUCUUAAUUUCUUCUAUUGAUUCACUAAGAAUUAUCAUCUUGAUUAAUCUACAGUGAAAUGUUGUUUAUACCAUUGUUGGAUCAGCUCCUUCAAAAAAGAUAAAUUGUCCAAAUUUCUUUUUCAUUGUUCCAUAGUAUCCUUUUUCUGGAACAAAUGUUCCCACAAUUCGAGCUUCUUCUUCAUAUUGAAGAAAGUCAUUCAUUGUAAUUCCACUAAGAAUUGGACUCUCUUGUGGUUUUGGAAUUUUUCCAAUUCUUUUGAAUCUACUUGGUAUGGAUUCAUUUUCUGUAUGGGAUUCACCUGCAUCUUUGAAAGAUAUCAUUCUAAUCUUUUGGUUUUCACUUGGUGGUGGUCGAAAGAGUUGGGCUGAUAAUCUGGGCCUUGGUCUUGGAUUUGAACAAUAGUUUGGUCUUAAAUGAAUAUUGUCAUAUUCAAAAAGUUGUUUGUAUGGCAUGCUUUGGCCUUUGGCUUCAUGAAAGUCUGAAAAUGCUCUUUGGACUUCUGUAUAGGCUUUGAAACUUUUGUAUUUGUGGGGCUUAUGUUUCACAAGUGGUUCAACUUGAGCCCAAUUAGUAUAAAAUCCUCUGUGUGGUCUAUCAAGUUGAAAAAAGAUGCCAACUUUUGACAAAGACGAUACCUACUUUUUAAAAAGAGGGAGCAUCUUUGAAAAUCCGGGAAAGAAGAAAAAAAUUUUGUUAUAUCACUUUAUCACUACUUUUGCUUUCGGCAAAAGAAAAACUGUUGAUAAUGACAAAAGAACCAACGAGAGAAAGAAGGAAUCUUUCCAAUCAGCUAUAAAAGGAAGAACUUCAAAUAAGGAGAGGAGGAAAAAAAAAAUUUGAAGAAAAAUUUUCUUUGUCUAGAAUCCUUGAUGUAUAGACUGCGAGGCUAAUCCCUCAAAAACAGUAGAUCUAUUUUGGAACUUUCAUAUAAUUAAAUAAGUUUAAG